This 428-nucleotide ribosomal RNA is filed under the name Lacticaseibacillus rhamnosus. RNAcentral's name for it is "bacterial SSU rRNA". It matches the Rfam family "Bacterial small subunit ribosomal RNA", at positions 91 to 505 of the family's 1533-position model. Lineage: Bacteria; Bacillati; Bacillota; Bacilli; Lactobacillales; Lactobacillaceae. The record is from RNAcentral.
ACGAGUGGCGGACGGGUGAGUAACACGUGGGUAACCUGCCCUUAAGUGGGGGAUAACAUUUGUAAACAGAUGCUAAUACCGCAUAAAUCCAAGAACCGCAUGGUUCUUGGCUGAGAGAUGGCGUAAGCUAUCGCUUUUGGAUGGACCCGCGGCGUAUUAGCUAGUUGGUGAGGUAACGGCUCACCAAGGCAAUGAUACGUAGCCGAACUGAGAGGUUGAUCGGCCACAUUGGGACUGAUACACAGCCCAAACUCCUACUGGAGGCAGCAGUAGGGAAUCUUCCAACAUGGACGCAAGUCUGAUGGAUCAACGCCGCGUGAGUGAAGAAGGCUUUCGGGUCGUAAAACUCUGUUGUUGGACAAGAAUGGUCGGCAGAGUAACUGUUGUCGGCGUGACGGUAUCCAACCAGAAAGCCACGGCUAACUACG